GCUGAAUGUGGGGAUAAUUUAUCUCCGUGUUGUAGCUAACGCGUUAAGCACUCCGCCUGGGGACUACGGUCGCAAGACUAAAACUCAAAGGAAUUGACGGGGACCCGCACAAGCGGUGGAGCAUGUGGUUUAAUUCGAUGCAACGCGAAAAACCUUACCACUCCUUGACAUGGAGAUUAGAUCCUUCUUAACAGAAGGGCGCAGUUCGGCUGGAUCUCGCACAGGUGCUGCAUGGCUGUCGUCAGCUCGUGUCGUGAGAUGUUGGGUUAAGUCCCGCAACGAGCGUAACCCUCAUCCUUAGUUGCCAGCGGGUAAGCCGGGCACUUUAAGGAAACUGCCGGUGGUAAACCGGAGGAAGGUGGGGAUGAUGUCAAGUCAGCACGGCCCUUAUGGGGUGGGCUACACACGUGCUACAAUGGUGACUACAAUAGGUUGCAAUGUCGCAAGGCUGAGCUAAUCCGUAAAAGUCAUCUCAGUUCGGAUUGUCCUCUGCAACUCGAGGGCAUGAAGUCGGAAUCGCUAGUAAUCGUGGAUCAGCAUGCCACGGUGAAUACGUUCUCGGGUCUUGUACACACUGCCCGUCACGCCAUGGGAAUUGGCUUAACUCGAAGCUGGUGCGCUAACCGAAAGGAAGCAGCCAU
Molecule: ribosomal RNA, 641 nt
Filed under: Anaplasma phagocytophilum
Lineage: Bacteria; Pseudomonadati; Pseudomonadota; Alphaproteobacteria; Rickettsiales; Anaplasmataceae
Also listed under: 1 other name
Description: bacterial SSU rRNA
Rfam family: Bacterial small subunit ribosomal RNA
Source: RNAcentral